Molecule: small nuclear RNA, 19 nt
Filed under: Arabidopsis thaliana (thale cress)
Lineage: Eukaryota; Viridiplantae; Streptophyta; Magnoliopsida; Brassicales; Brassicaceae
Description: snRNA_10764
Source: RNAcentral
AUUACCACCGAGCGGCGGG